CGGCGGGCAACCUCUCCCCACCGAGAGGCUAACUAUCUGGAAGGAUAGAU
RNAcentral lists this non-coding RNA (50 nucleotides) under uncultured Gellertiella sp. Its description in RNAcentral is "serC leader". It matches the Rfam family "serC leader". Rfam says of the family: This family is a putative regulatory RNA structure that is found upstream of the serC-serA operon in some alpha-proteobacteria. The final stem of the structure overlaps the ribosome binding site of the serC reading frame. Lineage: Bacteria; Pseudomonadati; Pseudomonadota; Alphaproteobacteria; Hyphomicrobiales; Rhizobiaceae. The record is from RNAcentral.